RNAcentral lists this ribosomal RNA (389 nucleotides) under uncultured marine bacterium. RNAcentral describes it as "bacterial SSU rRNA". It matches the Rfam family "Bacterial small subunit ribosomal RNA", at positions 8 to 388 of the family's 1533-position model. The record is from RNAcentral.
AGAGUUUGAUCAUGGCUCAGAGUGAACGCUGGCGGCGUGCUUAACACAUGCAAGUCGAACGAGAACGGAUUUUAGCUUGCUAAAAUUGUCAGCUAAGUGGCGCACGGGUGAGUAAUAUAUAGGUAACGUGCCCUAGAGAAGAGGAUAACAUUUGGAAACGAAUGCUAAUACUCUAUAUGCCUUUAAGUCAUAAGACNGCCAAGGGAAAUAUUUAUAGCUCUAGGAUCGGCCUGUACGGUAUCAGCUUGUUGGUGAGGUAAUGGCUCACCAAGGCAAUGACACCUAACUGGUUUGAGAGGAUGAUCAGUCACACUGGAACUGAGACACGGUCCAGACUCCUGCGGGAGGCAGCAGUGGGGAAUAUUGCACAAUGGACCCAAACUCUGAUG